GCAUGACACAGACCCUAUCCUCCACAAAAGGCCAUGGCAUGCCAAGAGGAAAUUUUUUCAGAGGCUAUUCUAAUAAGCCUCUUUGAUUUUGACGUGCCGCGCCACUUAUCCUCCGAGAUAAGGGCGUGGCACGGAGGGUGUUAAUUUUGGGAUAUUUUAAUUAAAAUGUUGGGUAGACCAAAAAUUUUCCCCUUUUAACACACGAUCCCCCUUUUAAACACCAUAAAUUACAAAUUUCCCUCUCCGUUUCAUAACCCUAGCGUGCUACCCCUCCCAAAUCUUUCAAACCUCUGAAAUGUGUCACGCCAUAAAUCCACACCAAGCUCAUUUCUUUCUCCUCUAUGACUUCAAGCCAGGUAUUAUGAAAAGCAGAGCACAGAAAGGGAAAGGUGUUGCUGGGCCUUCAAAAAUAUCCAAGAAGAGAGUUCGUCCAACCACCCGAGUACCUAGAGCCCCAGCUGUCCCAAGAGGUCAGACCCAUAGUUAUGGGUCUAGGUGGGUGGAAGAAGCAGGAAAGAAAUAGUACAAAAAGAAUAAUGUCAAAGUAUGCCCCGAAAGAAUUCAUUGACCGAGAGAGUCUGCUUAGAAUGUUCUUGAUCAUAAUUUGGAGGAUUGAAAAGCUGCGUAUGAACUUUAUUCUUUAGCAGCCUACUGAGUGCAAGUUGCACUUGAUUAGGGAAUUCUAUGCCGACUGGGACCUCAAAGAUCUUGAUUCAGAAAAGAUUCGCGGGCAAGUGGUGACCUUCAGUGCAUAUGACUUGAAUGCCAUUUUGGGCACUCCUAAGGCUGACUCACUUAAGCUAAGGCAGCUGAACAUCACUCUACCCUACACCAACAUUACACAUCUAUUAUGCAGUAAUAGAUCAAUAGUUAGGUGGAUUCAUCACCGAGAGGGAGGCUAUCAUAUGACAUUUCUCUAUGUACAAAUGAAUAGAAAAGCUAGAAUGUGGUUAAAGAUCAUCUAUCUUUGUCUCAUUAUUGGGAAGGACAUGACAGAAGUCACUCGGGAUCGAGUUUGCUUAAUUUAUGCACUCAUGCAAGAGGGCUUCACGAUAAAUAUGGGUGCAGUGAUUAUUUCAGCUAUGAAGAAUGCCCUCUUUCAUCAGGGAUGCAAGUAUGGUUUUGGUGGAUUUCUGACUCGAUUCCUGAGGUGCUAUCAGAUAGAGGAGAGGGCCCUGGACCACAUACCUGUGUUAGACAAAUGUUCGGUGGAUGUGACCUAAACGUGGGGUCUUGAUAUUUCUCAUAGGUUAAUGCUGACACUACCCGAGCGUCAUGCUCAUCACAACUUACAUGUAUGGGAUACAGAUAUUAUAGUUGUGAGAAGGUACGUGCAGUGGAGCUUGAUUAACCACUUGGUCAGCAUGCUAGGACUCUCUUGAGGAUAGGCCUACAGUUUGUAGAGCCAGUAGAUAAUGAUAUUCCUACAGAUGAGGAGACAACUGAGGGAUUUGGACUUUGAGUUCGAUGAUGGUGUAGACCCAAACUUAGGCGAUAAGUCUUUGGGACCAGAUGUUGAUGAUUGCAUGGACGAGGUGUGAACAUGGAGUUUUAAAUCACCUUAUAACUUUGUUUUGUCUUAUAUCUGCAAACACUGGGGAUAGUGCUACAUUUUAUGUGUGGGGUGGUCGCAAUUCUCAUUUUUUGUUAUCUAUUCUGGAUGGAUUUUUAUAGAUGUUAUUCAAUUGGAUAUUAUUUUUGAUUUGGUGCUAAGAUACAUUCUGAUACAUUCAGUCUAUAAUAGUUAGUAAUUUUUCUAUUUUCU
Capsicum annuum is the source of this 1765-nucleotide long non-coding RNA. RefSeq lists it as uncharacterized. The transcript is spliced from 2 exons. Lineage: Eukaryota; Viridiplantae; Streptophyta; Magnoliopsida; Solanales; Solanaceae. The record is from RefSeq and is a predicted model, not a curated record.